GACGAACGCUGGCGGCGUGCUUAACACAUGCAAGUCGAACGCGCCUGUCCUCUGGGUUUCUGGGGGGUGGGUGAGUGGCGAACGGGUGAGUAACACGUGAGUAACCUGCCCCCUUCUUCGGGAUAACGGUCUGAAAGGGCUGCUAAUACCGGGUAUUCACUGGUCUCCGCAUGGGGUCUGGUGGAAAGGUUUUUUUCUGGUGGGGGAUGGGCUCGCGGCCUAUCAGCUUGUUGGUGGGGUGAUGGCCCACCAAGGCUUUGACGGGUAGCCGGCCUGAGAGGGUGACCGGUCACAUUGGGACUGAGAUACGGCCCAGACUCGUACGGGAGGCAGCAGUGGGGAAUAUUGCCCAAUGGGCGAAAGCCUGAUGCAGCGACGCCGCGUGAGGGAUGGAGGCCUUCGGGUUGUGAACCUCUUUCGCCCGUGGUCAAGCCGCGACGUGGGUCGUGGUGAGGGUAGUGGGUAAAGAAGCGCCGGCUAACUACGUG
RNAcentral lists this ribosomal RNA (488 nucleotides) under uncultured bacterium. Its description in RNAcentral is "partial 16S ribosomal RNA". It matches the Rfam family "Bacterial small subunit ribosomal RNA", at positions 28 to 507 of the family's 1533-position model. The record is from RNAcentral.